Molecule: transfer RNA, 73 nt
Filed under: Candidatus Dojkabacteria bacterium
Lineage: Bacteria
Description: tRNA-Arg
Rfam family: tRNA
About the family: Transfer RNA (tRNA) molecules are approximately 80 nucleotides in length. Their secondary structure includes four short double-helical elements and three loops (D, anti-codon, and T loops).
Source: RNAcentral
GCACCGGUAGCUCAAUGGAUAGAGCAACUGCCUUCUAAGCAGUAGGUUACAAGUUCGAAUCUUGUCCGGUGCA